RNAcentral lists this unclassified non-coding RNA (1684 nucleotides) under uncultured fungus. RNAcentral describes it as "sequence contains 18S rRNA gene, ITS1, 5.8S rRNA gene, ITS2, 28S rRNA gene". The stretch from base 611 to 1684 matches the Rfam family "Eukaryotic large subunit ribosomal RNA", at positions 1 to 961 of the family's 3401-position model. The record is from RNAcentral. Lineage: Eukaryota; Fungi.
GGAAGGAUCAUUAACAAAUCAUUGAGUGUGUGUGCUGUGUGUUGCUGUUGUAUGUGUGCACUACCAAAAGUAGUGCACACUACAACAACGGUACACGGCAAAACAACACCUCACAUUUGUGCUCCAGGCGUCUGUCUGGGUGCAUAUAUAUCAUAUAUUCAUGAUUUUAUUGUCAGUUAUUUUGUCAUUUUAAAUUAUCAAUCAUACUUUUAACAAUGGAUCUCUUGGCUCUUGCAUCGAUGAAGAACGCAGUAAUGUGCGAAAAGUAAUGCGAAUUGCAUACCUCUGCGAGUCAUCUAGUCUUUGAACGCAAAUGGCACUAUCACGACAAGUGGUAGUAUGUCUGUUUGAGAACCACAAAAAACCUCACCACUAUAUAUAUAUUGUGUGUAUAUAUUUGGAGGAUUUGUCCUUUUACAUAUAUGUGUAAUUGGAUUGAAUGCAUGAUGCUGCGUGGAUCACACGCGGAAUAUGUGAUAGUAGAUACAUUUUCAUAUUCCGAGUGAUUUAUAUAUUAUAACGUGCACAGUGUGUGUAAUUUUAUCUUGUGUAUGACGUGUGUGUAUUAAUGAAAGUUUUCAUUAAUUCCUCAUACACAUUAUAAGUAUGUUGGUCUCAAAUUAGACAAGGUUACCCGCUGAACUUAAGCAUAUCAGUAAGCGGAGGAAAAGAAACUAACAAGGAUUCCCGUAGUAACGGCGAGUGAAGUGGGAAUAGCUCAAAUUUAAAAUCUGGCCUUUGGCCCGAAUUGUAGUCUAAAGAGGUGCCAUCUUGAUUAUUGUGUGCGCACAAGUGUCCUGGAAUGGACCAUCACAGAGGGUGAGAAUCCCGUUUGGGUGCACAUUUAAUGAUCAUAUAUGAGGCACUCUCUAAGAGUCGAGUUGUUUGGGAAUGCAGCUCAAAUAGGGUGGUAUACUUCAUCCAAGGCUAAAUAUUGGCAAGAGACCGAUAGCGAACAAGUACCGUGAGGGAAAGAUGAAAAGCACCUUGAAAAGGGAGUUAAACAGCGCGUGAAAUUGUUAAAAGGGAAACGAUUGAAGCCAGCAUUGUGCGCAAGGUUUUCUUGGUUUGAGAUGUUAGUAGAGAGCGUGUGAAAGCACGCCUCGUACUAGUUUGUCAUUCCUUGAUGACCUGCGUGCGAGUCAGGGCCGCUUCGACAUAUUUUGCCUUGGAAUACUUUGGAAAUGUAGUCGUCAUUCGUGAUGACCUUAUAGUCCAAUGGGAUGAGGUGAAUUGGAGCUGGUAGUAGAAUAGGUUAUCGUUCUUUACCUGUGAUAUAAAGACUGCAUGCAGACUUUGUAUACAUUUGGUAAAGAUAAUGAUGACCACCAUACUUCUACGAACCUGACGGAAUGGCUUUAAACGACCCGUCUUGAAACACGGACCAAGGAGUCUAACAUGUAUGCGAGUGUUUGAGUGGUAAACUCGAGCGCGCAAUGAAAGUGUUAGUCGUGGGACCUACUACUUUUUGUGUGGGGCACCAUGAACCGAUCUUGAUAUCUCUUGAUAGAUUCGAGUUAGAGCAUAAAUGUUGGGACCCGAAAGAUGGUGAACUAUGCCUGGAUAGGAUGAAGCCAGAGGAAACUCUGGUGGAGGUCCGCCGCCGUUCUGACGUGCAAAUCGAUGGUCAAAUUUGGGCAUAGGGGCGAAAGACUAAUCGAACCAUCUAGUAGCUGGUUCCCUC